Molecule: ribosomal RNA, 1161 nt
Filed under: Oenococcus oeni
Lineage: Bacteria; Bacillati; Bacillota; Bacilli; Lactobacillales; Lactobacillaceae
Description: bacterial LSU rRNA
Rfam family: Bacterial large subunit ribosomal RNA
Source: RNAcentral
GGUUUUAUACCAGCCGCAGCAAAUAGGCCCAAACAACUGUUUAUCAAAAACACAGGUUUCUGCAAAAUCGUAAGAUGAAGUAUAGGGGCUGACGCCUGCCCAGUGCUGGAAGGUUAAAAGGAGGACUUAGCUUCGGCGAAGGUCUUAAUUGAAGCCCCAGUGAACGGCGGCCGUAACUAUAACGGUCCUAAGGUAGCGAAAUUCCUUGUCGGGUAAGUUCCGACCCGCAUGAAAGGCGUAAUGAUUUGGGCGCUGUCUCAACAAUAGACUCGGUGAAAUUUAAAUUCCAGUGAAGAUGCUGGGUACCCGCGACAGGACGGAAAGACCCCGUGGAGCUUUACUGUAGCUUGAUAUUGAAUGUUUGUGCUGCAUGUGCAGGAUAGGUAGGAGACUUUGAAGUCGGAACGCUAGUUUCGAUUGAGUCACCCUUGAGAUACUACCUCUGUUGUAUGAACGUUCUAACUCUGAUCAGUUAUCCUGAUCGAAGACAGUGUCUGGCAGGCAGUUUGACUGGGGCGGUCGCCUCCUAAAAGAUAACGGAGGCGCUCAAAGGUUUGCUCAGAAUGGUUGGAAAUCAUUCGUAGCGUGUAAAGGCAUAAGCAAGCUUGACUGUGAGACUGACAAGUCGAGCAGGUACGAAAGUAGGACUUAGUGAUCCGGUGGUUCCGUAUGGAAGGGCCAUCGCUCAACGGACAAAAGCUACCCCGGGGAUAACAGGCUCAUCUCCCCCAAGAGUCCACAUCGACGGGGAGGUUUGGCACCUCGAUGUCGGCUCAUCGCAUCCUGGGGCUGUAGUCGGUCCCAAGGGUUGGGCUGUUCGCCCAUUAAAGCGGUACGCGAGCUGGGUUCAGAACGUCGUGAGACAGUUCGGUCCCUAUCCGUCGUGGGCGCAGGAAAUUUGAGAGGAUCUGUCCUUAGUACGAGAGGACCGGGAUGGACAUACCUCUGGUGUACCAGUUGUUCUGCCAAGAGCACCGCUGGGUAGCUACGUAUGGAUUAGAUAAUCGCUGAAAGCAUCUAAGUGAGAAACUAACCUCGAGAUGAGAUUUCCCAUUCGUCAGAAGUAAGACCCCUGAGAGACGAUCAGGUAGAUAGGCUAGAAGUGGAAGUGUAGUGAUGCAUGGAGCGGACUAGUACUAAUAGGUCGAGGACUUAACCAAG